Molecule: ribosomal RNA, 2758 nt
Filed under: Klebsiella pneumoniae
Lineage: Bacteria; Pseudomonadati; Pseudomonadota; Gammaproteobacteria; Enterobacterales; Enterobacteriaceae
Description: bacterial LSU rRNA
Rfam family: Bacterial large subunit ribosomal RNA
Source: RNAcentral
CACUAUCGUUAACUGAAUACAUAGGUUAACGAGGCGAACCGGGGGAACUGAAACAUCUAAGUACCCCGAGGAAAAGAAAUCAACCGAGAUUCCCCCAGUAGCGGCGAGCGAACGGGGAGCAGCCCAGAGUCUGAAUCAGCUUGUGUGUUAGUGGAACGGUCUGGAAAGUCCGACGGUACAGGGUGAUAGUCCCGUACACCAAAAUGCACAGGCUGUGAACUCGAAGAGUAGGGCGGGACACGUGGUAUCCUGUCUGAAUAUGGGGGGACCAUCCUCCAAGGCUAAAUACUCCUGACUGACCGAUAGUGAACCAGUACCGUGAGGGAAAGGCGAAAAGAACCCCGGCGAGGGGAGUGAAAAAGAACCUGAAACCGUGUACGUACAAGCAGUGGGAGCACCUUCGGGUGUGACUGCGUACCUUUUGUAUAAUGGGUCAGCGACUUAUAUUCUGUAGCAAGGUUAACCGUAUAGGGGAGCCGCAGGGAAACCGAGUCUUAACUGGGCGUUAAGUUGCAGGGUAUAGACCCGAAACCCGGUGAUCUAGCCAUGGGCAGGUUGAAGGUUGGGUAACACUAACUGGAGGACCGAACCGACUAAUGUUGAAAAAUUAGCGGAUGACUUGUGGCUGGGGGUGAAAGGCCAAUCAAACCGGGAGAUAGCUGGUUCUCCCCGAAAGCUAUUUAGGUAGCGCCUCGUGAACUCAUCUUCGGGGGUAGAGCACUGUUUCGGCUAGGGGGUCAUCCCGACUUACCAACCCGAUGCAAACUACGAAUACCGAAGAAUGUUAUCACGGGAGACACACGGCGGGUGCUAACGUCCGUCGUGAAGAGGGAAACAACCCAGACCGCCAGCUAAGGUCCCAAAGUCAUGGUUAAGUGGGAAACGAUGUGGGAAGGCACAGACAGCCAGGAUGUUGGCUUAGAAGCAGCCAUCAUUUAAAGAAAGCGUAAUAGCUCACUGGUCGAGUCGGCCUGCGCGGAAGAUGUAACGGGGCUAAACCAUGCACCGAAGCUGCGGCAGCGACACUAUGUGUUGUUGGGUAGGGGAGCGUUCUGUAAGCCUGCGAAGGUGUGCUGUGAGGCAUGCUGGAGGUAUCAGAAGUGCGAAUGCUGACAUAAGUAACGAUAAAGCGGGUGAAAAGCCCGCUCGCCGGAAGACCAAGGGUUCCUGUCCAACGUUAAUCGGGGCAGGGUGAGUCGACCCCUAAGGCGAGGCCGAAAGGCGUAGUCGAUGGGAAACAGGUUAAUAUUCCUGUACUUGGUGUUACUGCGAAGGGGGGACGGAGAAGGCUAUGUUAGCCGGGCGACGGUUGUCCCGGUUUAAGCAUGUAGGCUGGUUGUCCAGGCAAAUCCGGAUAAUCAAGGCUGAGGUGUGAUGACGAGGCACUACGGUGCUGAAGUAACAAAUGCCCUGCUUCCAGGAAAAGCCUCUAAGCAUCAGGUAACAUCAAAUCGUACCCCAAACCGACACAGGUGGUCAGGUAGAGAAUACCAAGGCGCUUGAGAGAACUCGGGUGAAGGAACUAGGCAAAAUGGUGCCGUAACUUCGGGAGAAGGCACGCUGGUGUGUAGGUGAAGUCCCUGCGGAUGGAGCUGAGACCAGUCGAAGAUACCAGCUGGCUGCAACUGUUUAUUAAAAACACAGCACUGUGCAAACACGAAAGUGGACGUAUACGGUGUGACGCCUGCCCGGUGCCGGAAGGUUAAUUGAUGGGGUUAUCCGUAAGGAGAAGCUCUUGAUCGAAGCCCCGGUAAACGGCGGCCGUAACUAUAACGGUCCUAAGGUAGCGAAAUUCCUUGUCGGGUAAGUUCCGACCUGCACGAAUGGCGUAAUGAUGGCCAGGCUGUCUCCACCCGAGACUCAGUGAAAUUGAACUCGCUGUGAAGAUGCAGUGUACCCGCGGCAAGACGGAAAGACCCCGUGAACCUUUACUAUAGCUUGACACUGAACAUUGAGCCUUGAUGUGUAGGAUAGGUGGGAGGCUUUGAAGCGUGGACGCCAGUCUGCGUGGAGCCAACCUUGAAAUACCACCCUUUAAUGUUUGAUGUUCUAACGUUGGCCCCUUACCGGGGUUGCGGACAGUGUCUGGUGGGUAGUUUGACUGGGGCGGUCUCCUCCCAAAGCGUAACGGAGGAGCACGAAGGUUAGCUAAUCCUGGUCGGACAUCAGGAGGUUAGUGCAAUGGCAUAAGCUAGCUUGACUGCGAGCGUGACGGCGCGAGCAGGUGCGAAAGCAGGUCAUAGUGAUCCGGUGGUUCUGAAUGGAAGGGCCAUCGCUCAACGGAUAAAAGGUACUCCGGGGAUAACAGGCUGAUACCGCCCAAGAGUUCAUAUCGACGGCGGUGUUUGGCACCUCGAUGUCGGCUCAUCACAUCCUGGGGCUGAAGUAGGUCCCAAGGGUAUGGCUGUUCGCCAUUUAAAGUGGUACGCGAGCUGGGUUUAGAACGUCGUGAGACAGUUCGGUCCCUAUCUGCCGUGGGCGCUGGAGAAUUGAGGGGGGCUGCUCCUAGUACGAGAGGACCGGAGUGGACGCAUCACUGGUGUUCGGGUUGUCAUGCCAAUGGCACUGCCCGGUAGCUAAAUGCGGAAGAGAUAAGUGCUGAAAGCAUCUAAGCACGAAACUUGCCCCGAGAUGAGUUCUCCCUGAGACUUUAAGUCUCCUGAAGGAACGUUAAAGACGAUGACGUUGAUAGGCCGGGUGUGUAAGCGCAGCGAUGCGUUGAGCUAACCGGUACUAAUGAACCGUGAGGCUUAACCUU